AGUGAACGCUGGCGGUAGGCCUAACACAUGCAAGUCGAACGGCAGCACCGUAAGAGCUUGCUCUUACGGGUGGCGAGUGGCGGAAGGGUGAGGAAUACAUCGGAAUCUACUUUUUCGUGGGGGAUAACGUAGGGAAACUUACGCUAAUACCGCAUACGACCUACGGGUGAAAGCAGGGGAUCUUCUGACCUUGCGCGAUUGAAUGAGCCGAUGUCGGCUUAGCUAGUUGGCGGGGUAAAGGCCCACCAAGGCGACGAUCCGUAGCUGGUCUGAGAGGAUGAUCAGCCACACGGGAACGGAGACACGGUCCAGACGCCUACGGGAGGCAGCAGUGGGGAAUAUUGGACAAUGGGCGCAAUCCUGAUCCAGCCAUACCGCGUGGGUGAAGAAGGCCUUCGGGUUGUAAAGCCCUUUUGUUGGGAAAGAAAAGCAGCAGGUUAAUACCCCGCUGUUCUGACGGUACCCAAAGAAUAAGCACCGGCUAACUUCGUG
Molecule: ribosomal RNA, 492 nt
Filed under: uncultured bacterium
Lineage: Bacteria
Description: partial 16S ribosomal RNA
Rfam family: Bacterial small subunit ribosomal RNA
Source: RNAcentral